UACAGAGGUCUCAAGCGUUGUUCGGAUUCAUUGGGCGUAAAGGGUGCGUAGGUGGCGCGCUAAGUCAGGUGUGAAAUUUCGGAGCUUAACUCCGAAACUGCAUUUGAUACUGGCGUGCUUGAGGACUGGAGAGGAGACUGGAAUUUACGGUGUAGCGGUGAAAUGCGUAGAUAUCGUAAGGAAGACCAGUGGCGAAGGCGGGUCUCUGGACAGUUACUGACGCUGAGGCACGAAGGCCAGGGGAGCAAACGGG
This 253-nucleotide ribosomal RNA is filed under the name uncultured bacterium. RNAcentral describes it as "partial 16S ribosomal RNA". It matches the Rfam family "Bacterial small subunit ribosomal RNA", at positions 524 to 776 of the family's 1533-position model. The record is from RNAcentral.